Long non-coding RNA from Rhincodon typus (whale shark), 939 nucleotides. RefSeq lists it as uncharacterized. The record is from RefSeq and is a predicted model, not a curated record. The transcript has 3 exons. NCBI's taxonomy places the organism in Eukaryota, Metazoa, Chordata, Chondrichthyes, Orectolobiformes, Rhincodontidae.
CGGCGGACGGCGCGGCUUAGUUUGAGGCGCGUGAGUGCAGUAUCGGGCUCCGUAACAGGGCAGGAGAGAGCCUAUCCUACAGUGGAACCAUUGGUUUGGAAGUUUGAUGGGGUGAUCCUAACGGUGUUUUUGUCUGGAAGUGUUGGAACCAAAGCUGGAAGAAUGCAUUCUUGUUACAGAGAUAGUACGAACUGCCGAUGCUGGAGAAUCUGAGAUAACACGGUGUAGAUAACAAGGCGUAGAGCUGGAUGAACACAGCAGGCCAAGCAGCAUCAGAGGAGCAGGAAGGCUGACGUUUCGGGCCUAGACCCUUCUUCAGAAAUUUCAUCCAGCUCUACACCUCGUUAUCUCAGAUUCUCCAGCAUCUGCAGUUCCUGCUAACUCUAACACGGUGAAUAACUGGAUGAACACAGCAGGCCAAGCAGCAUCAGAGGAGCAGGAAAGCUGACGUUUCGGGUUGAGCUCUACACUGUGUUAUCUCAAUGCAUUCUUGCUCUGGUCCCAUUCAAUCUUUGCAGUUAAGCUUGCUGCUUUCGUGCAAAUAUCCUAUGAAAAUCUGACCUGUUCUGCUGCAAAUCAUACAUCGUGGUAUUUGCAAAGUCUUUGACAGGAAGAAAUCACAAGUAGUAAUGUGAAAUUAACAUAUAAAACCAAUUAAGUCCAUUAAUUUGUAUGUUUCAUGAUUUAUUGCUAACUUUAUUCAUUUUUUUUGGCAUUUUCAUCUCAGUUAGAAAGUUAUAAUUUCAAGUUCCAUUUAUGAUCAAGGGCAAUACUUCCAUAUAACUGAGGAAGUACUGCAUCAGAGAUGCCGAUUUUUGUUAAAAAUGGUAAAUCAAGAUGGCUAGAUGUAAAACAAAAGAUUUCGCUAUAGAUUGCUGUGUUGCUGUUGCUGCUGUCUUGUUGAUUAUGACCACAAAGCUGAAUAAAUUUAGAACACCA